Molecule: non-coding RNA, 516 nt
Organism: Sander lucioperca (pikeperch)
Lineage: Eukaryota; Metazoa; Chordata; Actinopteri; Perciformes; Percidae
Source: the annotation of a RefSeq genome assembly
GGUCUGCCAGCAGCUGUUCAGCCUGAAGACAGAGUUGUCAUUGUGAAUAUAUAUCGGUCUUUUUUUUAUUGUUUGAUCAAUGUCAAAAUGAAGCUGCUACUAUUUGCCGUUCUCAUCUUCACCAAUUCCUCCGGUGGUGUAAAACUUCACCAGCCUCCGUUUAUAAUUAGCCGUGAAGGAGACCCCCAGGCUGUCACUUUGCAGUGUGAACAAGACGACGAACAAUACUUCUACAUGUACUGGUACAGACAAAGCAGCAGCAGCAGGGAAAUACAGCUAGUAGCAUAUUCUCCUGGUAAAGAUGUGUGCAGCAUUGAAGCUCCAUUCAACAAAUCCAAGUACAGCAUGACAAGGGCUGCAGUGCUUCAUUCCUCUGUGCAGAUACACCCUGUUGAGACUGGAGACUCAGCUGUGUAUUACUGUGCCUCCAGUAGAGCACGAUGGUUCAGAAAGCCUCAGCAGCUUAACAACAACCUCAAGAAGAAACCAGGAAGAGGUGACAGGGGGGAGGGAUGA